UAUGGUCACAUCAUGUUGAAACACCAGUUCCCGUAUGAUCACCAAAGUUAAGCAAUGUCAAGCCUGGUCAGUACUUAGAUGCAUGACUGCUUGGAAAUACCAGGUGCUGUACG
This is a non-coding RNA of Acanthosepion pharaonis, 113 nucleotides long. NCBI's taxonomy places the organism in Eukaryota, Metazoa, Mollusca, Cephalopoda, Sepiida, Sepiidae. The record is from the annotation of a GenBank genome assembly.